This 85-nucleotide transfer RNA is filed under the name Syntrophomonadaceae bacterium. RNAcentral describes it as "tRNA-Tyr". It matches the Rfam family "tRNA". From Rfam's summary of the family: Transfer RNA (tRNA) molecules are approximately 80 nucleotides in length. Their secondary structure includes four short double-helical elements and three loops (D, anti-codon, and T loops). The record is from RNAcentral. Lineage: Bacteria; Bacillati; Bacillota; Clostridia; Eubacteriales; Syntrophomonadaceae.
GGAGAGGUUCCCGAGUGGUCAAAGGGGGCAGACUGUAAAUCUGUUGGCUCAGCCUUCGAAGGUUCGAAUCCUUCCCUCUCCACCA